Molecule: ribosomal RNA, 637 nt
Filed under: uncultured bacterium
Lineage: Bacteria
Description: bacterial SSU rRNA
Rfam family: Bacterial small subunit ribosomal RNA
Source: RNAcentral
GCUCAACCGAGGAAGUGCUUCGAAAACUGGUAAACUUGAGUGCAGAAGAGGAAAGUGGAACUCCAUGUGUAGCGGUGGAAUGCGUAGAUAUAUGGAAGAACACCAGUGGCGAAGGCGGCUUUCUGGUCUGUAACUGACGCUGAGAUUCGAAAGCAUGGGUAGCAAAUAGGAUUAGAUACCCUGGUAGUCCAUGCCGUAAACGAUGAGUGCUAAGUGUUGGAGGGUUUCCGCCCUUCAGUGCUGCAGCUAACGCAUUAAGCACUCCGCCUGGGGAGUACGAUCGCAAGAUUGAAACUCAAAGGAAUUGACGGGGGCCCGCACAAGCGGUGGAGCAUGUGGUUUAAUUCGAAGCAACGCGAAGAACCUUACCAGGUCUUGACAUACCAUGGGGAGCUUAGAGAUAAGUCUUUCCCUUCGGGGACAUGGAUACAGGUGGUGCAUGGUUGCCGUCAGCUCGUGUCGUGAGAUGUUGGGUUAAGUCCCGCAACGAGCGCAACCCUUAUUAUCAGUUGCCAGCAUUCAGUUGGGCACUCUGGUGAGACUGCCGGUGAUAAACCGGAGGAAGGUGGGGACGACGUCAAAUCAUCAUGCCCCCUAUGACCUGGGCUACACACGUGCUACAAUGGUCGGUACAACG